AUGUCAGUGAGCUACAACAGGUUACAACUCAUUUCAGUGAGCUACAACCGGAUACAACUCAUUUCAGUGAGCUACAACAGGAUACAACUCAUUUCAGUGAGCUACAACAGGUUACAACUCAUUUCAGUGAGCUACAACCGGAUACAACUCAUUUCAGUGAGCUACAACAGGAUACAACUCAUUUCAGUGAGCUACAACAGGUUACAACUCAUUUCAGUGAGCUACAACCGGAUACAACUCAUUUCAGUGAGCUACAACAGGAUACAACUCAUUUCAGUGAGCUACAACCGGAUACAACUCAUUUCAGUGAGCUACAACAGGAUACAACUCAUUUCAGUGAGCUACAACAGGAUACAACUCAUUUCAGUGAGCUACAACCGGAUACAACUCAUUUCAGUGAGCUACAACAGGAUACAACUCAUUUCAGUGAGCUACAACCGGAUACAACUCAUUUCAGUGAGCUACAACAGGAUACAACUCAUUUCAGUGAGCUACAACAGGAUACAACUCAUUUCAGUGAGCUACAACAGGUUACAACUCAUUUCAGUGAGCUACAACAGGAUACAACUUAUUUCAGUGAGUUACAACAGGUUACAACUCAUUUCAGUGAGCUACAACCGGAUACAACUCAUUUCAGUGAGCUACAACAGGUUACAACUCAUUUCAGUGAGCUACAACAGGAUACAACUCAUUUCAGUGAGCUACAACCGGAUACAACUCAUUUCAGUGAGCUACAACAGGUUACAACUCAUUUCAGUGAGCUACAACAGGAAACAACUCAUUUCAGUGAGCUACAACCGGAUACAACUCAUUUCAGUGAGCUACAACAGGAUACAACUCAUUUCAGUGAGCUACAACAGGAUACAACUCAUUUCAGUGAGCUACAACAGGAUACAACUCAUUUCAGUGAGCUACAACCUUAUAGAGCUCAUUUCAGUGAGCUACAACCUUAUACAACUCAUUUCAGUGAGCUACAACUUUAUAGAGCUCAUUUCAGUGAGCUACAACCUUAUACAACUCAUUUCAGUGAGCUACAACCUUAUAGAGCUCAUUUCAGUGAGCUACAACAGGGUACAACUCAUUUCAGUGAGCUACAACAGGAUACAACUCAUUUCAGUGAGCUACAACAGGAAACAACUCAUUUCAGUGAGCUACAACCUUAUAGAGCUCAUUUCAGUGAGCUACAACAGGAUACAACUCAUUUCAGUGAGCUACAACCUUAUACAACUCAUUUCAGUGAGCUACAACAGGAAACAACUCAUUUCAGUGAGCUACAACAGGAUACAACUCAUUUCAGUGAGCUACAACAGGAUACAACUCAUUUCAGUGAGCUACAACCUUAUAGAGCUCAUUUCAGUGAGCUACAACCUUAUACAACUCAUUUCAGUGAGCUACAACUUUAUAGAGCUCAUUUCAGUGAGCUACAACCUUAUACAACUCAUUUCAGUGAGCUACAACCUUAUAGAGCUCAUUUCAGUGAGCUACAACAGGGUACAACUCAUUUCAGUGAGCUACAACAGGAUACAACUCAUUUCAGUGAGCUACAACAGGAAACAACUCAUUUCAGUGAGCUACAACCUUAUAGAGCUCAUUUCAGUGAGCUACAACAGGAUACAACUCAUUUCAGUGAGCUACAACAGGAAACAACUCAUUUCAGUGAGCUACAACAGGAUACAACUCAUUUCAGUGAGCUACAACAGGAUACAACUCAUUUCAGUGAGCUACAACAGGAUACAAAUCAUUUCAGUGAGCUACAACCUUAUAGAGCUCAUUUCAGUGAGCUACAACCAUAUACAACUAAUUUCAGUGAGCUACAACAGGAAACAACUCAUUUCAGUGAGCUACAACAGGAUACAACUCAUUUCAGUGAGCUACAACAGGAUACAACUCAUUUCAUCAAUCUGCUGCUAUACAGUAGUACAUGAUCCAAACUUAAGGUUGAUUUACUGUUGA
Molecule: long non-coding RNA, 1953 nt
Organism: Oncorhynchus mykiss (rainbow trout)
Lineage: Eukaryota; Metazoa; Chordata; Actinopteri; Salmoniformes; Salmonidae
Source: Ensembl